This 210-nucleotide long non-coding RNA is filed under the name Panax ginseng (ginseng). RNAcentral's name for it is "long non-coding RNA (PGIN_LNC005726)". Lineage: Eukaryota; Viridiplantae; Streptophyta; Magnoliopsida; Apiales; Araliaceae. The record is from RNAcentral.
UAUGAUUUAAAAUGUUUUCAUCAAUUUUUAUCGCUAAGACUCAGCUUAAUAAAUAAACCACAUCAUCGAGUCAUCCCUGCACUACAGGUCAAGGAUAUUCAUUAAAUCAUCAAUGGUCAUGAUUAUACCGAAUAAUCUCUGGUCAUAAUCAUACCAAAAACUGUCCAUCAAUGCACUACAGGCCACUGAGGACUUUUACCACCUCAUUUA